This 124-nucleotide small nucleolar RNA is filed under the name Erinaceus europaeus (western European hedgehog). RNAcentral's name for it is "Small nucleolar RNA SNORA30/SNORA37 family (ENSEEUG00000018483.1)". The record is from RNAcentral. Lineage: Eukaryota; Metazoa; Chordata; Mammalia; Eulipotyphla; Erinaceidae.
UAAAUGUUAAUUCCGAUCCUACCCAGCAGGCCAGAAUUCGGUAGCUGGUGCUGAGAGAAAAACUCUUGAUUGUAUUCUUGCCCUGGGACUGUGUCAGUGGCAACUAUCAUUCAAUGGGGUUAGA